GCCAGCAUCCCCGGGACUCGCAGCCCUCCUCUCGGGUCCCUGCCAUGGGACUGGGACAGACAGAUCGCUGGGAACGGGAUCGAACAAAUGCCGGCAGCUGGUACUCACUGCAGACACAGAAGGACUGCUUUUGGCCAGCACUGGUGAAGACAGAGGAGAGAAAGACUCCCUUGUCCCGUAUGUCAUUCAAGCAUGGCUGGUAGGAGACAGCGACAGCUUUAUCGGUGAUUCUUUUUGCAUCCAUGGCAAACACAACAUCCUUUUUGGGUAUGAGAUGCACCCCGCCCACUUACACACCUGUUCCUCCCCGUCCUCCUCCAGCCUUUCUCGCAGAGCACACUGGAAAAUGCUCUUUUAGAGGAAUUAGUUUCUUCAAAGAUAAUUCAUUCAGAAGAAUCCAGAAAGGAAACAAGCGUUCUCCUUCCUCACUCCAGAAUAUCCUGAAAUAAGAGGGAACACCCUCUAUUUUACCUUCAGUGAAGUCAAGCAAUACACACCGAUGAUAUCAACAGGUAAUAUAAUUCAAUGUAAUCCAAAUGUUUCACUCUUGCUACCAUUUCUGUCGAAUUACAGAGAAAUGUUGCUCCGGACACUGGGCCUUACCAGUUAAAUAAUAACAGUUAAUGAAUAGUUCAACAGCCCCAGUGCCCACACACAACAUCCUUGCCCAUGCGGUUGUCCCUUCUCCCUCUCGCCACUGCGCCAUGUGCAGAUCACCUGGAGGGGGCCCGAGCCUCCACCAAUGUGCAGGAUGGCAGCUGGGGCUCUGCAGCAAGGGCAGCUGCCUACGCACAAGGGUUGGGGAGCUCUGGGAGCUGUGGGACACCUCGUGGGGGGGGCAGAGGCCCGAGGCUUCCCGCCUGCAGUGAAAUAAGGAGACCUCUGGGUGACGCUGUGUUGUACUGGUGCCAGAUAGUGGCGAACUGGGGAGCUGUAAUGAGCUCUCUGUGGUUUCCUUGUUCCACUACAUUCCCCCCGCUUUCUCCAUGGCAUCGCAAAAGUGAAGGGCAUCAAACACACAAGCCACCGUCGCAUACCUGUGUUUUUCCAACCGCAACUUAAAUAAAUAUAUCUCAGUUGUACCAAUGAAAUUGAAAACAGAAGUGACAUAAAAAGAAUGUAAAUUAUUUUAAAUUGCAAUUUUUUAUAUGUUCACUUUUAUGGCCUCACUCUUUUAAAAUAAA
Phalacrocorax carbo (great cormorant) is the source of this 1184-nucleotide non-coding RNA. The record is from RefSeq and is a predicted model, not a curated record. NCBI's taxonomy places the organism in Eukaryota, Metazoa, Chordata, Aves, Suliformes, Phalacrocoracidae.